This 485-nucleotide ribosomal RNA is filed under the name uncultured bacterium. RNAcentral's name for it is "bacterial SSU rRNA". It matches the Rfam family "Bacterial small subunit ribosomal RNA", at positions 30 to 505 of the family's 1533-position model. The record is from RNAcentral.
AUUGAACGCUGGCGGCAUGCCUAACACAUGCAAGUCGAACGGCAGCACGGGAGCUUGCUCCUGGUGGCGAGUGGCGGACGGGUGAGUAAUGCAUAGGAAUCUGCCCAGUAGCGGGGGACAACUUGGGGAAACUCAAGCUAAUACCGCAUACGCCCUACGGGGAAAGGCGGGGGACCUUCGGGCCUCGCACUAUUGGAUGAGCCUAUGUCAGAUUAGCUUGUUGGUGGGGUAAGUGGCCUACCAAGGCAACGAUCUCUAGCUGGUCUGAGAGGACGAUCAGCCACACUGGGACUGAGACACGGCCCAGACUCCUACGGGAGGCAGCAGUGGGGAAUAUUGGACAAUGGGCGAAAGCCUGAUCCAGCAAUGCCGCGUGUGUGAAGAAGGCCUGAGGGUUGUAAAGCACUUUCAAUCGUGAAGAAAAGUUGCAGGCUAAUACCCUGUGACCUUGACGUUAACGAUACAAGAAGCACCGGCUAACUCCG